RNAcentral lists this ribosomal RNA (497 nucleotides) under Dilophotes sp. UPOL 000244. Its description in RNAcentral is "partial large subunit ribosomal RNA". The stretch from base 376 to 497 matches the Rfam family "Bacterial large subunit ribosomal RNA", at positions 2473 to 2595 of the family's 2925-position model. The record is from RNAcentral. Lineage: Eukaryota; Metazoa; Arthropoda; Insecta; Coleoptera; Lycidae.
CAUGUCUUUUUGUUAAUGAUUUAAAGUCUAGCCUGCUCGAUGAGUUUUAAAUUGCCGCAGUAUUUUGACUGUGCAAAGGUAGCAUAAUAAUUAGUUUCUUAAUUAGAAGCUUGUAUGAAUGGUUGGACAAGAAAGUUUCUGUCUCUAUUUUAUUUUUAUUGAAUUUUAUUUUUGAGUUAAAAAGCUUAAAUUUUUUUAAAAGACGAGAAGACCCUAUAGAGUUUUAUUAUUUUAUUUUUAUUAAUUUUUAGUAAUUUAAUUUUUUAAUAUAAUUUGGUUGGGGUGAUUCGGAUAUUAGCUUAAUUUUCUGAUUAUUAAAUUGUUAAUUUUCAAAUUUAUAUUCUGUAUUUUCAAGUUUAAAUAAAUUACCUUAGGGAUAACAGCGUAAUUUUUCUUUAAAGUUCUUAUUAAAAGGAGAGUUUGCGACCUCGAUGUUGGAUUAAAAUAAAUUUUUGGUGCAGUAACUUAGGGAUUAGGUCUGUUCGACCUUUAAAAUU